Pseudophryne corroboree (corroboree frog) is the source of this 837-nucleotide long non-coding RNA. RefSeq lists it as uncharacterized. Lineage: Eukaryota; Metazoa; Chordata; Amphibia; Anura; Myobatrachidae. The record is from RefSeq and is a predicted model, not a curated record. The transcript has 2 exons.
CUGCACUUCCUGCACCUAUGGCAGCUUCGCCCUUGUUCCACGGAUACAAACUGCAGCUGUCCUGGUGCUAUCAUAUUUUUUAUUUAUUUGUUUUACACUAUUUUCACUUUCAUUUUUAAGGAGUAAAGUUCUUUGGAGCUACCACUCCCCUUAGUAUCCCAUACAAGUAUACUGCCAGCUCUCAUGGAUGCAACUCGGAGGUCUCACACUGGGACAUGGCUGCUGUUUAUGUUAAUGCUGGUAGCACCCCUUCAGGAUGUUGAGUGUCUGGAACCUGUCAGUCUGACCAUAGCUGCUGCCUCUGCUGUUGCCCUGACCAGCUACGCGUCCCAUCGUCUGUACUGCAGACUGACCCAGAGAUGCGAUGAGGAGAAGCCGUUCAGCACCGCAGCGGGUCUGAACUGCGCAGGCCCCGCCAGCGACGGGGAGCACCGGACUGCGAUGGGGUGGACGAUGAAAGCGAUCGCACCGGCGAUGGAAAGAAGAUUGGCAGGAGGAGGCCGUUUGUGGGUGUCAACUGACCGUUUCCAGGGAGUGUCCGUGAAAACGCAGGCGUGUCAAGGCGUUUUGAAGGGAGGGUUCCUGACGUCAGCUCUCUGCACAAGCGAUCGCACCCCUGCACAGCGACUACCCCCUCCCCCUGUAGGUGGUGACUAUCUGAUCGCAGGGAUGUAAGAACCACACCCUAGUGAUCAGGUUUGAAUUAGGCCCCUUGUUCUAACAGACAUGUAUAAUGCUUCAUUUACAUCAUGCCCGCUGGACUUUGAUCAGGAUACAGUAGAUAACAGCGGCACACGGAAUAAACUACAGACACAGGAAUUGCUUCAAUAACCAACA